This 303-nucleotide long non-coding RNA is filed under the name Gallus gallus (chicken). Lineage: Eukaryota; Metazoa; Chordata; Aves; Galliformes; Phasianidae. The record is from RNAcentral.
GUCAAUGUCAUAGGUGGGAUUGGCCACGAUGCACAGGUUGUUCUCAAGAGCUUGCUUCUGGAGGUCUCUGGGGCUCGGCUCUGUGUUAGCUCUCAGAAUUGUCUUUUUCGGCAGCGGAGGUGGUGUUGGCUGUAAGCUGUUCAUUGUCUCCUGGUCCACUAUCCCUCCAAAGGCAAUGGCAUCGUCCAAAGCUCCCUUCGGCUGCCUCGGCUGUUUCGGAGGUAUCAUGGCUGCUCUGGACUGUCCUAAAUUGCUGUACGUGGCACUGCAAGGAUUCAAAUCAGAAGGAUGUGGAGCUUCUCC